Long non-coding RNA from Rosa chinensis, 715 nucleotides. RefSeq lists it as uncharacterized. The record is from RefSeq and is a predicted model, not a curated record. NCBI's taxonomy places the organism in Eukaryota, Viridiplantae, Streptophyta, Magnoliopsida, Rosales, Rosaceae. The transcript is spliced from 3 exons.
AUUGAAAACUCUCCUCUGGGUUGGAGGUUAUGUAAUCUCUACAUUCAAAGCCGGUAUCAAUAUCUCCACAAUCAUGCGAUUAUGUUUUUGAUUUCAAAUUGUGAUUGUGAUAUAACUGGAUCACACAAUCAGAGGUUGGUGGGUUGCCUUUGUUCAACUGCAUAUCCCUUUGAUCCAAUUGGCACGAUUGAUGAGCAUUGUGUUUGCUACCUAUUCAAUAGGUGUGUGUCUUCCUGACGAAGAGAUUCUACAAGUUCUUGAUGGCUAAAGAAUACUCCCACCUAGAGUUUAGGUGCGACCUUCUCCACAAUCAUGCGAUUAUGUUUUUGUUUUCAAAUUGUGAUUGUGAUAUAAAUGGAUCGCACAAUCAGAGGUUGGUGGGUUGCCUUUGUUCAACUACAUAUCCCUUUAAUCCGAUUGGCACGGUUGAUGAGCAUUGUGUUUGCUACAUAUUCAAUAGAUGUGUGUCUUCCUGACGAAGAGAUUCUACAAGUUCUUGAUGGCUAAAGAAUACUCCCACCUAGAGUUUAGGUGCGACCUUCUCCAAAAUCAUGCGAUUAUGUUUUUGGUUUCAAAUUGUGAUUGUGAUAUAAAUGGAUCGCACAAUCAGAGGUUGGUGGGUUGCCUUUGUUCAACUACAUAUCCCUUUAAUCCGAUUGGCACGGUUGAUGAGCAUUGUGUUUGCUACCUAUUCAAUAGAUGUGUGUCUUCUUGA